AUACGUAGGUGACAAGCGUUAUCCGGAUUUACUGGGCGUAAAGGGCGUGUAGGCGGUCUUGCAAGUCAGAAGUGAAAUUCCUGAGCUCAACUCGGGCGCUGCUUCUGAAACUGCAGGACUUGAGUGCUGGAGGGGAUAGCGGAAUUCCUAGUGGAGCGGUAAAAUGCGCAGAUAUUAGGAAGAACACCGGUGGCGAAGGCGACUAUCUGCCCAGCACCUGACGCUGGGGAGCGAAAGCGAGGGGAGAAAACAGGAGUAUAUCCCCUGGAAGUCCACGCCGUAAACGAUGAAUACUAGGUGUAGGGGGUAUCGACUCCCUCUGUGCCGCAGUUAACACGAUAAGUAUUCCGCCUGGGGAGUACGGCCGCAAGGUUGAAACUCAAAUGAAUUGACGGGG
This 397-nucleotide ribosomal RNA is filed under the name uncultured bacterium. RNAcentral's name for it is "partial 16S ribosomal RNA". It matches the Rfam family "Bacterial small subunit ribosomal RNA", at positions 523 to 918 of the family's 1533-position model. The record is from RNAcentral.